GGUGGAAAGCACGAGCCGGGAAUGGAAAGACCGGUACAAGCGGGGUAGGAGUACAAUAGGCAAAUCCGUUGUAUGAUCCGAAGACGUGAUGUGGAGCGAAAUAAAGUAGUGAAGCGUGUGAGCCAUGUGCCGAGAAAAGCUGCUAUUGUGUAAUGCGUGCCCGUACCGUAAACCGACACAGGUGGAUGAGGAGAGAAUCCUAAGGCCGACGGAAGAAGCAUUGUUAAGGAAUUCGGCAAAAUGACCCCGUAACUUCGGGAGAAGGGGUGCCUGCGAGAGCAGGCCGCAGAGAAUAGGCUCAAGCAACUGUUUAGCAAAAACACAGGUCUAUGCGAAACCGAAAGGUGAAGUAUAUGGGCUGACGCCUGCCCGGUGCUGGAAGGUUAAGAGGAGAGGUUAGCGUAAGCGAAGCUUUGAAUUUAAGCCCCAGUAAACGGCGGCCGUAACUAUAACGGUCCUAAGGUAGCGAAAUUCCUUGUCGGGUAAGUUCCGACCCGCACGAAAGGCGUAAUGAUUUGAGCACUGUCUCGACAAUGCAUCCGGUGAAAUUGAAGUACCAGUGAAGAUGCUGGUUACCCGCGCCAGGACGGAAAGACCCCAUGGAGCUUUACUCCAGUUUGAUACUGGGAUUCGGUACUGCAUGUACAGGAUAGGUGGGAGACGAAGAAGGAUGGACGCCAGUCUGUCCGGAGUCGCUGUUGGGAUACCACCCCUGUAGUACUGGGUUUCUAACCAGUUGCCAUGAUCUGGUAAUGGGACAAUGUCAGGCGGGGAGUUUGACUGGGGCGGUCGCCUCCGAAAGGGUAUCGGAGGCGCUCAAAGGUUCCCUCAGAAUGGUUGGAAACCAUUUGAAGAGUGCAAAGGCAGAAGGGAGCUUGACUGCGACACCGACGGGUGGAGCAGGUACGAAAGUAGGACUUAGUGAUCCGGUGGUAUAAAGUGGGAUUGCCAUCGCUCAACGGAUAAAAGCUACCCUGGGAUAACAGGCUUAUCACUCCCAAGAGUUCACAUCGACGGAGUGGUUUGGCACCUCGAUGUCGGCUCAUCGCAUCCUGGGGCUGUAGCAGGUCCCAAGGGUUGGGCUGUUCGCCCAUUAAAGCGGUACGCGAGCUGGGUUCAGAACGUCGUGAGACAGUUCGGUCCCUAUCCGGCGCGGGCGGAGGAUAUUUGAGAGGAGCUGUCCUUAGUACGAGAGGACCGGGAUGGACGGACCACUGGUGUAUCUGUUGUCGACCAACGGCAUGGCAGAGUAGCCAAGUCUGGAAGGGAUAAACGCUGAAGGCAUCUAAGCGUGAAGCCCCCCUCAAGAUGAGAUAUCCCUCCUUCGGGAGUAAGACCCCUUGAAGACUACAAGGUAGAUAGGGCAGAGGUGGAAGCAUGGCAACAUGUGGAGCUGACUGUUACUAAUAGGUCGAGGGCUUAAUU
This 1425-nucleotide ribosomal RNA is filed under the name metagenome. RNAcentral's name for it is "bacterial LSU rRNA". It matches the Rfam family "Bacterial large subunit ribosomal RNA", at positions 1478 to 2925 of the family's 2925-position model. The record is from RNAcentral.